CUGCUCGUGGCACAAUUGGAUAGCGCACAAGACUCCGACUCUUGCGGUUGAAGGUUCGAAUCCUUUCGGGCAGGCCA
RNAcentral lists this transfer RNA (77 nucleotides) under Clostridia bacterium. RNAcentral's name for it is "tRNA-Arg". It matches the Rfam family "tRNA". From Rfam's summary of the family: Transfer RNA (tRNA) molecules are approximately 80 nucleotides in length. Their secondary structure includes four short double-helical elements and three loops (D, anti-codon, and T loops). The record is from RNAcentral. Lineage: Bacteria; Bacillati; Bacillota; Clostridia.